Molecule: ribosomal RNA, 119 nt
Organism: Carassius auratus (goldfish)
Lineage: Eukaryota; Metazoa; Chordata; Actinopteri; Cypriniformes; Cyprinidae
Source: Ensembl
GCUUACGGCCAUACCAACCUGGCUAUGCCCGAUCUCGUCUGAUCUCGGAAGCUAAGCAGGUUUGGGCCUGGUUAGUACUUGGAUGGGAGACCGCCUGGGAAUACCAGGUGCUGUAAACU